This 270-nucleotide ribosomal RNA is filed under the name unidentified soil organism R6-45. Its description in RNAcentral is "partial 16S ribosomal RNA". It matches the Rfam family "Bacterial small subunit ribosomal RNA", at positions 1237 to 1501 of the family's 1533-position model. The record is from RNAcentral.
GAACCAAGGACUUCAAUACCGUGAGGUUGAGCGAAUCCCAUGAAACCGGUUCCGGUUUGGAUUGGAGNCUUCAACUCGCCUCCAUGAAGGCGGAGUUGCUAGUAAUCGCGGAUCAACAACGCCGCGGUGAAUACGUUCCCGGGCCUUGUANACACCGCCCGUCACACCACGAAAGUCGGCAACACCCGAAGCCGGUGGCCUAACCUCGUAAGAGGAGGCAGCCGUCGAAGGUGGGGUCGAUGAUUGGGGUGAAGUCGUAACAAGGUAUCC